AUUAGAUAAAAAACCAAUGCCCUUCGGGGCUUUUCUGGUGAUUCAUAAUAACUAAACGAAUCGCAUGGCCUUGAGCCGGCGAUGGUUCAUUCAAAUUUCUGCCCUAUCAACUUUCGAUUGUAGGAUAGAGGCCUACAAUGGUUUCAACGGGUAACGGAGAAUUAGGGUUCGGUUCCGGAGAGGGAGCCUGAGAAACGGCUACCACAUCCAAGGAAGGCAGCAGGCGCGCAAAUUACCCAAUCCCGACACGGGGAGGUAGUGACAAUAAAUACUGAUACAGGGCUCUUUUGGGUCUUGUAAUUGGAAUGAGUACAAUUUAAAUCCCUUAACGAGGAACAAUUGGAGGGCAAGUCUGGUGCCAGCAGCCGCGGUAAUUCCAGCUCCAAUAGCGUAUAUUAAAGUUGUUGCAGUUAAAAAGCUCGUAGUUGAACCUUGGGUCUGGCUGGUCGGUCCGCCUCACCGCGUGUACUGAUCCGGCCGGACCUUUCCUCUUGGGGAUCCACAUGCCCUUUACUGGG
This 518-nucleotide ribosomal RNA is filed under the name uncultured fungus. RNAcentral describes it as "SSU rRNA". It matches the Rfam family "Eukaryotic small subunit ribosomal RNA", at positions 209 to 726 of the family's 1831-position model. Lineage: Eukaryota; Fungi. The record is from RNAcentral.